GACGAACGCUGGCGGCGUGCUUAACACAUGCAAGUCGAACGGAAAGGCCUUGCUUUUGUGGGGUGCUCGAGUGGCGAACGGGUGAGUAACAAGUGAGUAACCUGCCCUUGACUUUGGGAUGACUUCAGGAAACUGGGGCUAAUACCUGAUAGAAGCGCCUGCUGCACGGUGGGGGUUGGAAAGUUUCGGCGGCUGGGGAUGGACUCGCGGCUUAUCAGCUUGUUGGUGGGGUAGUGGCUUACCAAGGCUUUGACGGGUAGCCGGACUGAGAGGGUGACCGGCCACAGUGGGACUGAGAUACGGCCCAGACUGCUACGGGAGGCAGCAGUGGGGAAUAGUGCACGAUGGGCGGAAGCCGGAUGCAGCAACGCCGCGUGCGGGAUGACGGCCUUCGGGUUGUAAACCGCUUUCGCCUGUGACGAAGCGUGAGUGACGGUAAUGGGUAAAGAAGCACCGGCUAACUACGUG
Molecule: ribosomal RNA, 468 nt
Filed under: uncultured bacterium
Lineage: Bacteria
Description: partial 16S ribosomal RNA
Rfam family: Bacterial small subunit ribosomal RNA
Source: RNAcentral